This 1861-nucleotide unclassified non-coding RNA is filed under the name Hevea brasiliensis (rubber tree). The record is from RNAcentral. Lineage: Eukaryota; Viridiplantae; Streptophyta; Magnoliopsida; Malpighiales; Euphorbiaceae.
GACUGGCUCUAGCCAUGCACCACCAGUUUCGAAACUAAAUAUGAAUGUCGUACAAGACACUACUGACUAUCAAGAUCGACUGAAUGAGAAUGUGGCUGACAUGGUGAAAGAGAAAAUCAGCCUAAGAUGUCCUGUAUAUCAGAUGCAUUCCCUCAAUAGAAAAUGUGUAUAUCAGAUUAUUUGCUCUGCUCAAAAUGUAGAAACAAAAUUUGGAUCAUUUCUGCAGCCUAGCGUUGAGUUUCUGAGUUGUGGCUAGGCUUCAAGUUUGCGCUGUCACCAAAGAUCGGGUAUUUCUCUUGACCAUCCCUCCUGCUAAGAUCAGGUCUUCUAGCUUGAGCAUUGGCCAUAGGUAAACCUCUAGGAUCUGAACCACUAGAGUUCCUUCCAGAAUUGAACAGUUCACUUUUCUUGUACCUAUUCUGUGUGGCAACGUUGUUCUCCUUGCCUGGGGUCCUGUCUGCUUGUGGAGAGCUAAAAAUACCAAAACCAGAGGAUGGACAACUUCGAACACUAGACUGAGAAGGAUGUUGCUCAGGAAACUUCCUUGGGAACUGAGAUCCAAGGUCUCUACUAUGUGACAAUGUAUUCCGGUCCAAUGGCAAUUGCCUUCCUAGAUCAGAUACGGUGUCCGCCAUCUUUGUACUCCUCAAACUUGGGUCUCUUUUAUACCUAUUUUCUUCCCCUGACGGACCCUGCAAUGUGUUUCCUGAUUCUCUUCUGAAACUACUUUGCAAAUUUGAAGAAACAUUAGCAGAACCUAGUGUUUUAGUACCCUCUUUUGCACUCUCUGCAAGAUCGAAAACCUUGUCACAAUCACCAUUUGCACUGGACAUUCUCCAACCUGAUCUGGCGUUAUCAACAUCUUCAUUAGUCAUUGCUUCCAUACAGCUAUCAUUGUCACUUUCAAUACCAGAUUCAGAAGUAUCACAAUUUUGCUUCGAUUGUGAAAAAAUUUCAGGUGCUACUGAAGCUGAUUCAUUAGAAUCCUCUGCAGAGAUGGCACUCCUGUCUUCUUUUGAUGGUUUCUUUCCCGAGCCUUUCUUUGAUGGACCAAACUUAACAUGCCUGACAACAAUAUAUGCCUGCUUUUUCUCCACUCUUGGUCCACUUUCAAUAUAAGCAACAUCUUCAAUCAGAGGAGAGAAACGUGAUAACACUGCUCCCAAAUCCUCUCCUUCAUUGCCCAUGGACAUGGCUGUACACUUCACCCGAUAGCCGCGCUCCAUCAUCCGUUUAACUGUAUCUGCUUUAUUUUGCAAGUCUUUUUUUUCAAUUUUACCAACAAAUCGGACUUCUUUACAAUCUCCCUUCUUCAAAGUUAACUCAGACUUGCUUUUUUUAGCACUCUCCUUCACUUGUUGUUGAUAUUUUUCUUUGUGGUAGUCCAUAAUUCUGCAGACAGGUGGUUUGCUGUUCCGUGCCACCUCCACCAAAUCAAGGUUGAGACUUCUAGCAAGUUCCAAAGCUUCGCGUAUUGACACUACGCGAUGACCUUCGUCAAGUACAAGCCUAACAAUAUCCGCGGUGAUCUCGCGAUUCAAUCUGGGACCACUCGUAUCCUUCUCUUCCUUCCUCGUCUUCGCCUGUACAGGUGCAGCGAAGCGCCUGACACUUUGCGAAAAUUCGAACGGACUCUUCGGGAUAGUCAAGCUGGAGUUGCCGAAAACUCGGACUGAAGGAUGUGAAGCACUAGCAAUGAGCGAAUUGGAACCAUGAGGGCAUUGGAAAUAACACCUUUUCAAAUGAAUUGAUAGGGUUUUGAUUUUGGAAUUCUUCACUCUACACCAAAACGCCAUGGUUGUACUCUCUAGCCCUAGUUCCAAAAAAUUGCCAUGGGAGGGUGGAGAAAUAUUGCUCCAAA